RNAcentral lists this ribosomal RNA (464 nucleotides) under Vreelandella stevensii. Its description in RNAcentral is "partial 16S ribosomal RNA". It matches the Rfam family "Bacterial small subunit ribosomal RNA", at positions 338 to 795 of the family's 1533-position model. Lineage: Bacteria; Pseudomonadati; Pseudomonadota; Gammaproteobacteria; Oceanospirillales; Halomonadaceae. The record is from RNAcentral.
CCUAGGUGAUGCUGCAGUGGGGAAUAUUGGACAAUGGGCGAAAGCCUGAUCCAGCCAUGCCGCGUGUGUGAAGAAGGCCUUCGGGUUGUAAAGCACUUUCAGUGGGGAAGAAAGCCUUGGGGCUAAUACCCUCGAGGAAGGACAUCACCCACAGAAGAAGCACCGGCUAACUCCGUGCCAGCAGCCGCGGUAAUACGGAGGGUGCGAGCGUUAAUCGGAAUUACUGGGCGUAAAGCGCGCGUAGGCGGUCUGAUAAGCCGGUUGUGAAAGCCCCGGGCUCAACCUGGGAACGGCAUCCGGAACUGUCAGGCUAGAGUGCAGGAGAGGAAGGUAGAUUCCCGGUGUAGCGGUGAAAUGCGUAGAGAUCGGGAGGAAUACCAGUGGCGAAGGCGGCCUUCUGGACUGACACUGACGCUGAGGUGCGAAAGCGUGGGUAGCAAACAGGAUUAGAUACCCCGGUAGUC